RNAcentral lists this ribosomal RNA (403 nucleotides) under uncultured bacterium. RNAcentral describes it as "bacterial SSU rRNA". It matches the Rfam family "Bacterial small subunit ribosomal RNA", at positions 355 to 775 of the family's 1533-position model. The record is from RNAcentral.
UGGGGAAUAUUGGACAAUGGGCGAAAGCCUGAUCCAGCAAUGCCGCGUGGGUGAAGAAGGUCUUCGGAUUGUAAAGCCCUUUCGGCGGGGACGAUAAUGACGGUACCCGCAGAAGAAGCCCCGGCUAACUUCGUGCCAGCAGCCGCGGUAAUACGAAGGGGGCUAGCGUUGCUCGGAAUGACUGGGCGUAAAGGGCGCGUAGGCUGUUCACAGAGUUGGGCGUGAAAUUCCUGGGCUUAACCCGGGGGCUGCGUUCAAUACCUGUGGACUGGAGUGAGGAAGAGGGUCGUGGAAUUCCCAGUGUAGAGGUGAAAUUCGUAGAUAUUGGGAAGAACACCGGUGGCGUAGGCGGCGACCUGGUCCUUUACUGACGCUGAGGCGCGAAAGCGUGGGGAGCAAACAG